CACGUAGUUAGCCGGAGCUUAUUCUACAGGUACUGUCUUUUUUCUUCCCUGUCUAAAAUAGUUUACAAUCCGAAAACCUUCUUCCUAUACGCGGUGUCACUGCAUCAGAGUUUCCUCCAUUGUGCAAUAUUCCCGACUGCUGCCUCCCGUAGGAGUCUGGGCCGUAUCUCAGCCCCAAUGUGGCCGUUGAGCCUCUCAGCUCGGCUACCGAUCGUUGCCUUGGUAGGCCUUUACCCCACCAACUAGCUAAUCGGACGCAAGCCCAUCUAUUAGCGGAUUUCUCCUUUUCUGACUAUACCAUGCGGUAUUGUCAGCUUAUGCGGUAUUAGCAGUGAUUUCUCACUGUUACUUCCCCUCUAAUAGGCAGGUUGCUUACGUGUUACUCACCAGUCCCGCCACUAAAAUCAUUGUUAUUAACUUAUUUCAGUAUAAAUCUUUAUUUACCAUUUAAUAACGUAUUUCCGUUCGUACUUGCAUUGUCUUAUGUGCACCGCCAGCGUUAU
RNAcentral lists this ribosomal RNA (503 nucleotides) under uncultured bacterium. RNAcentral describes it as "partial 16S ribosomal RNA". The record is from RNAcentral.